Molecule: ribosomal RNA, 667 nt
Filed under: Clostridioides difficile
Lineage: Bacteria; Bacillati; Bacillota; Clostridia; Peptostreptococcales; Peptostreptococcaceae
Description: bacterial LSU rRNA
Rfam family: Bacterial large subunit ribosomal RNA
Source: RNAcentral
CACAGACAACCAGGAUGUUGGCUUAGAAGCAGCCACUCAUUCAAAGAGUGCGUAAUAGCUCACUGGUCGAGUGAUCCUGCGCCGAAGAUUUCCGGGGCUAAAACUUACUACCGAAGCUACGGCAUCAGUAAUGAUGGGUAGGGGAGCUUCCCAUACGGGUUGAAGCAUGACCGUAAGGACAUGUGGACAGUAUGGGAGUGAGAAUGUUGGCAUGAGUAGCGAGAUGUGGGUGGGAAUCCCACAGGCCGUAAACCCAAGGUUUCCAGGGGAAGGUUCGUCCGCCCUGGGUUAGUCGGGACCUAAGCUGAGGCCGAAAGGCGUAGGUGAUGGACAACAGGUUGAUAUUCCUGUACUACCGAUAACCAUUUGAGAGAUGGGAUGACACAGUAGGAUAAGCUAAGCACACUGUUGGUUAUGUGUGCCCAAGCAUUGAGGCAGUCAAAGUAGGCAAAUCCGCUUUGAUAAUGCUGGGAUGUGAUGGGGAGCGAAAUUUAGUAGCGAAGUAGCUGAUUUCACACUGUCAAGAAAAGUCUCUAUCGAGGUUAAAGGUACCCGUACCGCAAACCGACACAGGUGGGUGAGGAGAGUAUCCUAAGGCCAGCGAGAGAACUGUUGUUAAGGAACUCGGCAAAAUGACCCCGUAACUUAGGGAUAAGGGGUGCCACCA